This is a non-coding RNA of Haloplasma contractile SSD-17B, 128 nucleotides long. The record is from Rfam. NCBI's taxonomy places the organism in Bacteria, Bacillati, Mycoplasmatota, Mollicutes, Haloplasmatales, Haloplasmataceae.
AAUAAUUGAAUAGUAACGCCGUAGACAGUAGGUGUCAAAAGACUUAAUUUCCUACCUAGGUUUGUAUAUAUAGUUUUGAAACUAAUAUACCCUUAUGUCUACUGGCAUGAGGGUAUUUUUAUAUUAUA